AUGCAAGUCGAGCGGGGAAAGGUAGCUUGCUACUGGACCUAGCGGCGGACGGGUGAGUAAUACUUAGGAAUCUGCCUAUUAGUGGGGGACAACAUUCCGAAAGGGAUGCUAAUACCGCAUACGUCCUACGGGAGAAAGCAGGGGAUCACUUGUGACCUUGCGCUAAUAGAUGAGCCUAAGUCAGAUUAGCUAGUUGGUGGGGUAAAGGCCUACCAAGGCGACGAUCUGUAGCGGGUCUGAGAGGAUGAUCCGCCACACUGGGACUGAGACACGGCCCAGACUCCUACGGGAGGCAGCAGUGGGGAAUAUUGGACAAUGGGGGGAACCCUGAUCCAGCCAUGCCGCGUGUGUGAAGAAGGCCUUUUGGUUGUAAAGCACUUUAAGCGAGGAGGAGGGUACCUUGGUUAAUACCCAAGAGUACUGGACGUUACUCGCAGAAUAAGCACCGGCUAACUCUGUGCCAGCAGCCGCGGUAAUACAGAGGGUGCGAGCGUUAAUCGGAUUUACUGGGCGUAAAGCGUGCGUAGGCGGCUUUUUAAGUCGGAUGUGAAAUCCCCGAGCUUAACUUGGGAAUUGCAUUCGAUACUGGGAAGCUAGAGUAUGGGAGAGGAUGGUAGAAUUCCAGGUGUAGCGGUGAAAUGCGUAGAGAUCUGGAGGAAUACCGAUGGCGAAGGCAGCCAUCUGGCCUAAUACUGACGCUGAGGUACGAAAGCAUGGGGAGCAAACAGGAUUAGAUACCCUGGUAGUCCAUGCCGUAAACGAUGUCUACUAGCCGUUGGGGCCUUUGAGGCUUUAUUGGCGCAGCUAACGCGAUAAGUAGACCGCCUGGGGAGUACGGUCGCAAGACUAAAACUC
Molecule: ribosomal RNA, 855 nt
Filed under: uncultured bacterium
Lineage: Bacteria
Description: bacterial SSU rRNA
Rfam family: Bacterial small subunit ribosomal RNA
Source: RNAcentral